Molecule: transfer RNA, 73 nt
Filed under: Ignavibacteriota bacterium
Lineage: Bacteria; Pseudomonadati; Ignavibacteriota
Description: Ignavibacteriae bacterium (groundwater metagenome) tRNA-Ala
Rfam family: tRNA
About the family: Transfer RNA (tRNA) molecules are approximately 80 nucleotides in length. Their secondary structure includes four short double-helical elements and three loops (D, anti-codon, and T loops).
Source: RNAcentral
GGGGUUAUAGCUCAAUUGGUAGAGCACCAGCUUUGCAAGCUGGGGGUUAGCGGUUCGAUUCCGCUUAACUCCA